ACUGCCUCCAAAAUUCUAAACUACCUACCUAAUUAACAGAAUCAAUCAAGAAUGACUUAUUUCUUGUUCUUUUAAACGUCUGUGUAAGUUCAUGGUUAACGAUGGAAUGAUAUUUUAGUGGUUAUUUUCGGGAAAUGUAGUAUAGUACAAUGCUAUAAAUUAUUCUUAACAUGCAUAAUUUAUUCGAAUUCAAAACGAAUUGAGAAAAAUUUCAAACACCAUGCUGAGAACCCCAAAAUGCAGUGCCUGAACAAUUGUGCCAAAUAGCCGAUUAUUAAAAAGUCUCGAUGACAUCUGUUAGAAGCCCACUAGCUUGUUCAAGUUACGAUAUUGGAUGUGUUCUGUACCCUUACACCACUUCAGGAGGAGGGCUACCAGUCGUUCAUAAUCUUUCAUGAAAAAAUCAAAGCUAUGCUAGUUAAUUCUUAAAAUAUAAUGAUGAAGUCAAGCUAGAAAUUGAAAUCUUCGACCAAAAUUGGUGUAGGCAUUUCAAAAGGAUACAUUCUUAGAGAGCCACAUUUUGAUCCAAU
Long non-coding RNA from Harmonia axyridis, 530 nucleotides. RefSeq lists it as uncharacterized. Lineage: Eukaryota; Metazoa; Arthropoda; Insecta; Coleoptera; Coccinellidae. The record is from RefSeq and is a predicted model, not a curated record. The transcript is spliced from 3 exons.